GUAUGUGAUAUUGUGUUAUUUAUUCUCUCUCCAACAAUUCUGGAUCGAUUCAGAGAAUUUCAGAAUCGAGUCUGAGCUUAGUUUUUAAACACAGAUGCAAUAUUUCAUAAAGUUCGGGGUUUAACCGAAUUACAAGGACAUUCGCGCGCUUCAUUGCACAGGUUUUGCCGCUUUGCUUGAUGUUAUAACGUUACUCUUGCAGUGCGUGGUCUUGGCCGCCGGAAUUUUCCUUACAAAUCCUCCACGAUGGCAUUAUUUAUGUCUUUUGGAAUGCAGUUGGCUUAUAUAUUAAAAAUAUGAAAAUCCCUGAGAAGGCUGCUUUCAUUUUAAAAUACUUGCGCUCGCUUUGUGAAGAGCGCUCGUGCAUGCGGCUGUGAGCGACUCAUUGGUUAAAUGUACUUGCAUCUCAAAAUGCUUUUAUGACGCGAAAUUAAUGUAAACGGUUAUAUCUUAAACCAACAGGACAAACCACAUUUACAAUUUCAAAAGAGAUAUGUGCAUUAGUGUGAAUGCAGCUUAUCGUAUCUAAACUGAGGGGGGAAAAUCACUCCAGCUCUUAAAUGAAAAACAUUCAGACAGCCUUCUUUUAAAUACUGAAAGCACUCUGUUUAUUGCUUGUAAUGCUUUUUUUUGUUCGUCUUUAUUUACUAGCUUUUAUAUUUUGAAGCUAUAUUAGUUUAUAUAGCCUAUUUAAAAUUCUUAACAUGUAAUUGGUUUAAUUAAAUGUUUUCUUAUAUAUAUAUAUUUUUAAAGUAUGUAUUUUUACACAUGUAAUUAAAUGCAUAUUUUAAGUGUUAUUAAGAUUAAUAAGAAAAAAAGUAGAUCGGAUCAUGAGCUGCCUAAAGAUUCCCAUCCCUACUGUACAAUGAUUUAUUGCUUGUCUUUGUCGACUAAUACAGAAGGUAAAGAACUUAAAGUAAUCGCAUAUUAAAUCGCAAUAUUGGUUAAAAAAA
Rhinichthys klamathensis goyatoka is the source of this 953-nucleotide long non-coding RNA. RefSeq lists it as uncharacterized. The record is from RefSeq and is a predicted model, not a curated record. NCBI's taxonomy places the organism in Eukaryota, Metazoa, Chordata, Actinopteri, Cypriniformes, Leuciscidae. The transcript has 2 exons.